CUUCACGGUCGGCCACGCCCUGGGCUUUGAGCGCCUCGUUGAGGCGAUGCCGGGCGUCGGCGAGUUCGGUGUUCGCCGUGGGGAC
Molecule: transfer RNA, 85 nt
Filed under: Acrocarpospora pleiomorpha
Lineage: Bacteria; Bacillati; Actinomycetota; Actinomycetes; Streptosporangiales; Streptosporangiaceae
Also listed under: 1 other name
Description: tRNA-Ser
Source: RNAcentral